This 222-nucleotide ribosomal RNA is filed under the name uncultured bacterium. RNAcentral describes it as "partial 16S ribosomal RNA". It matches the Rfam family "Bacterial small subunit ribosomal RNA", at positions 127 to 334 of the family's 1533-position model. The record is from RNAcentral.
CGCCCUUCAGAGGGGGACAACAGUUGGAAACGACUGCUAAUACCGCAUACGAUCCAAUCUCGGCAUCGAGACUGGAUGAAAGGUGGCCUCUAUUUAUAAGCUAUCACUGAAGGAGGGGAUUGCGUCUGAUUAGCUAGUUGGAGGGUAACGGCCCACCAAGGCGAUGAUCAGUAGCCGGUCUGAGAGGAUGAACGGCCACAUUGGGACUGAGACACGGCCCAG